RNAcentral lists this ribosomal RNA (305 nucleotides) under uncultured bacterium. RNAcentral's name for it is "bacterial SSU rRNA". It matches the Rfam family "Bacterial small subunit ribosomal RNA", at positions 333 to 635 of the family's 1533-position model. The record is from RNAcentral.
UUGCUCCUACGGGGGGCAGCAGUGAGGAAUAUUGGUCAAUGGGCUUACGCCUGAACCAGCCAAGUCGCGUGAGGGAAGACUGCCCUAUGGGUUGUAAACCUCUUUUGUCAGGGAGCAAUUGGCGCUACGUGUAGCGUUAUCGAGAGUACCUGAAGAAAAAGCAUCGGCUAACUCCGUGCCAGCAGCCGCGGUAAUACGGAGGACGCGAGCGUUAUCCGGAUUUAUUGGGUUUAAAGGGUGCGUAGGCGGGUUAUCAAGUCAGCGGUAAAAUCGUGGAGCUCAACUCCAUCCAGCCGUUGAAACUG